AACGAACGCUGGCGGCAUGCCUAACACAUGCAAGUCGAACGAGACCUUCGGGUCUAGUGGCGCACGGGUGCGUAACACGUGGGAAUCUGCCCUUUGCUUCGGAAUAACAGUUAGAAAUGACUGCUAAUACCGGAUGAUGUCGAAAGACCAAAGAUUUAUCGGCAAAGGAUGAGCCCGCGUAGGAUUAGGUAGUUGGUGGGGUAAAGGCCUACCAAGCCGACGAUCCUUAGCUGGUCUGAGAGGAUGAUCAGCCACACUGGGACUGAGACACGGCCCAGACUCCUACGGGAGGCAGCAGUGGGGAAUAUCGGACAAUGGGCGAAAGCCUGAUCCAGCAAUGCCGCGUGAGUGAUGAAGGCCUUAGGGUUGUAAAGCUCUUUUACCAGGGAUGAUAAUGACAGUACCUGGAGAAUAAGCUCCGGCUAACUCCGU
This 432-nucleotide ribosomal RNA is filed under the name uncultured bacterium. Its description in RNAcentral is "partial 16S ribosomal RNA". It matches the Rfam family "Bacterial small subunit ribosomal RNA", at positions 29 to 506 of the family's 1533-position model. The record is from RNAcentral.